GCCUACCAUGGUGGUAACGGGUAACGGGGUGUUAGGGCACGACACCGGAGAGGGAGCCUGAGAAACGGCUACCACAUCCAAGGAUGGCAGCAGGCGCGCAAAUUACCCAAUCCCGACACGGGGAGGUAGUGACAAUAAAUAACAAUACGGGGUUCUAAAGGAUUUCGUAAUUGGAAUGAGUACAAUUUAAAUCUCUUAACGAGGAACAAUUGGAGGGCAAGUCUGGUGCCAGCAGCCGCGGUAAUUCCAGCUCCAAUAGCGUAUAUUAAAGUUGUUGCAGUUAAAAAGCUCGUAGUUGAACUUCAGGCCUGGCUGGACGGUCCGCCCUUCGGGUGAGUACUGUCUGUGGUCGGGUCCUACCUUCUGGCGAAGCGUCAUGGCCUUAACCGGCCGUGGCGGGGAACCAGGACUUUUACUGUGAAAAAAUUAGAGUGUUCAAAGCAGGCAAUCGCUUGGAUACAUUAGCAUGGAAUAAUGGAAUAGGACAAUGGUUCUAUUUGUUGGUUUCUAGGACCGUUGUAAUGAUUAAUAGGGAUAGUUGGGGGCAUUAGUAUUCAAUUGUCAGAGGUGAAAUUCUUGGAUUUAUUGAAGACUAACUACUGCGAAAGCAUUUGCCAAGGAUGUUUUCAUUAAUCAAGAACGAAAGUUAGGGGAUCGAAGACGAUCAGAUACCGUCGUA
This 679-nucleotide ribosomal RNA is filed under the name uncultured Paraglomus. Its description in RNAcentral is "SSU rRNA". It matches the Rfam family "Eukaryotic small subunit ribosomal RNA", at positions 339 to 1022 of the family's 1831-position model. The record is from RNAcentral. Lineage: Eukaryota; Fungi; Glomeromycota; Glomeromycetes; Paraglomerales; Paraglomeraceae.